Molecule: transfer RNA, 68 nt
Filed under: Marmota monax (woodchuck)
Lineage: Eukaryota; Metazoa; Chordata; Mammalia; Rodentia; Sciuridae
Description: tRNA.Ala
Source: RNAcentral
GGAAUGUGGCCCAAUGGUACAACUCUUGCCUAGCAUGCAAGAGGCUCUGGGUUCAAUUUCCAGCUCCA